GUGGGAACAGCACGGCCGCAAAUCCGACUCGCCACGAGCCGUCGAUGUCUCCGCGACUCGCGGGCUACGCCCGCUCGUUCGUUUCGAGAUGUGUACGAUGGCUCCGUGGCUCUGGGAUUGCGGUAGUGC
This is a non-coding RNA of Halalkalicoccus jeotgali B3, 129 nucleotides long. Lineage: Archaea; Methanobacteriati; Methanobacteriota; Halobacteria; Halobacteriales; Halalkalicoccaceae. The record is from Rfam.